This 335-nucleotide ribosomal RNA is filed under the name uncultured bacterium. Its description in RNAcentral is "bacterial SSU rRNA". It matches the Rfam family "Bacterial small subunit ribosomal RNA", at positions 568 to 898 of the family's 1533-position model. The record is from RNAcentral.
CGUGUAGGCGGCUUCUUAAGUCUGAUGUGAAAGCCCGGGGCCGUUACCCCCGGAACGGGCAUUGGAAACUGGGAGGCUAGAGUACCGGAGAGGAAGGUGGAAUUCCUGGUGUAGCGGUGAAAUGCGUAGAUAUCAGGAGGAACACCGGUGGCGAAGGCGGCCUUCUGGACGGAUACUGACGCUGAGACGCGAAAGCGUGGGGAGCAAACAGGAUUAGAUACCCUGGUAGUCCACGCCGUAAACGAUGGGCACUAGGUGUUCGGGGUAUUGACCCCCUGAGUGCCGCAGCUAACGCAUUAAGUGCCCCGCCUGGGGACUACGGCCGCAAGGUUAAA